UUUUCUUUACAUUUUAGAGCAGUGCCUUUUUGCCUAUUUUUUUUUUCUAUUUUAACCAUCAUAAUUGGAACUAAGUCUUGAGAGGCUGCCUUCAAUCUUCAUAAAUACAGAAAUGAGCAUAUAUGCAAAUAUACAUGCAUAUAUUAUAUACAUUUGUAAAAGAGCCAUUUAAAAAUCUAAUUUCAGCUGUGCCUUAGAGUACAUGAGGGUGAUUUCUAAAAAAUCUUCAGUACCAGUGGUAGCGUGGGGACUGGCUGGGAAGCGGGCGGUCGAGUGUGUCCUGUGUGGACGCGGAUCCUGCCCGAAGCCGGGUAUUCUCGUGAAGUUCUGACUUUCCAGGGAAUGCUUGUGUUUGAUUAUUAAAUGUCUAUUAUAGGACUUUGGGUGAUCAGCCCAUGACCUAGACCUCUAGACAAAAUAAAACAGGGAAAAUUUGCUAGAAUCAAGAAUGAUGGAUCCAUGUUCAGUUGGAGUCCAGCUUCGUACUACAAAUGAAUGCCAUAAAACCUACUAUACUCGUCACACAGGUUUUAAGACUUUGCAAGAAUUGUCAUCAAAUGAUAUGCUUUUACUUCAACUUAGAACUGGAAUGACACUUUCUGGGAACAAUGCAAUUUGUUUUCAUCAUGUAAAAAUUUACAUUGACAGAUUUGAGGAUUUACAGAAGUCAUGUUGUGACCCAUUUAACAUACACAAAAAAUUAGCCAAAAAAAAUUUGCACGUAAUUGACUUAGAUGAUGCCACUUUUCUGAGUGCAAAAUUCGGAAGACAGCUUGUACCUGAUUGUUAGCUUUGUCCAAAAUGCACACAGAUAAUCAAUGGAAGUGUGGAUGUUGAUACUGAAGACCACCAGAAAAGGAAACCUGAGUCAGAUGGAAGAACUGCUAAAGCUUUGAGGUCACUACAAUUUACAAAUCCAGGAAGGCAAACUGAAUGUGCUCCAGAAACUGGUAAAAGAGAAAAAAGAAGGCUUACAAAAAAUGCAACCGCUAGUUCAGACAGACAAGUGAUAACAGCAAAGAGUAAGGUCUGUGAUAGCCAAGGUCUCCUGAUUUUUAGUGGGAUGGACCUCUGUGACUGCCUCGAUGAAGAUUGCUUAGGAUGUUUCUAUGCUUGUCCUGCCUGUAGUUCUACCAAGUGUGGAGCUGAAUGCCCCUGUGACCGCAAGUGGCUGUAUGAGCAAAUUGAAAUUGAAGGAGGAGAAAUAAUUCAUAAUAAACAUGCUGGAUAAUCUGUGGUACCAAACUAUGGGGCCUUUAAAGGUCAUUAUUUCUAAAAUUCUGUCACUCUAAGAUACAUUUUAAGCUUGAUUGUCAUAUGACAAAGAUUUUAAAACCACCUCAGUGUGCCCUAAUUUUUCAUCUUGGGUGCUUUAAUAUUCACUAUUUGAUAUAAAUUCAGAUAGGCUAUUUUUCAGCCUAUUAAGCCUGUCUGGAUCAAUAUAAACAAGUAGGGUGUAGGCAGUCCUCUAUUUGCAUGUUUCCCUUGGGCACAAAUUUCAGUGACCCAGAUUUAGUUUAAACACCGGUUUCCUUAACAGGAAGGAAAGGAAACUGGUAAGGAAACUGUUGUUAAAAUCUAGGUUAAAAUUUUAGUUAGCACAGUAUAACUCUGAGUAAUUACAUGAAGUACAAACUUCUCUGCUAGUUCUUCAGUCUACAAAUCGCUAUGUAAAUAACAGAUAUACUUCAUGAUUAAUGACCAGUCAUGUUGACUACUUUCAGAUUCUUCCAGUGGUUUGUCCCUGUGUAUCUGUUAUUCAGUUCACUUACAGCAGAGCAUGUAGUUAUGCUGUCUCUUUGUCAUCCACUUGACAUUUUAUAGAAGUGAAUACUCAAAAGAACUGGCCAACAAAGAUGAAAGUGCAGCAAAGCAAUGAAAAAUGAUAACACUGGAAGUGAAAUUUUAAUCAAACAUAAAUAAAUUUGUAGAAGAAGUCACUGACCAUGGGAGUAUUGUUCUUGCUGCUGUGCAUUCAUAGGAGCUUAAUGAAGGCAAACUUAUCAACACAAAUAAGAAACAUGGUUGCAAUAAAGACAAAUGUGUCCCAGAGGAAGUGAUGGUUAAAAAAAAAAACUUUACAUUAAAGGAUAUUUAAUGUGAAUAUAGAAAUAUAUCACAACACUGAAAGCACAAGCAAUAAAAGGGUGGAAGCUGACCGAAACUUAAAAGAAGUAUGAGUUUGCCAUGAACAUAAAAGAUGCUCCCUCGGUAUCAUAAGUUACUUGCCAGAAAAAAAGGCAAGCCCUAUUCAAACUACUUCGUUUUUACAAUGAAAUAAACCACUUUAGUUCUAUUUCUAAUGUUUUAAAUUACAGUGUACUAAAUAUUUUUAAACAUUUUUGCAUUUUUUUCCUACAUUUAUAACUGAUCUGAAGAAUUUUUAAUAUUUUAGCAGUAUCUUAAAGGUCAUGGAACAAUCAUCAUUUUCCCCAUUGAUUAUUAAGAUUUCAGGGCCGUUUUAUGGUCCCACAGUACCACGCGAAAUGAGGAUCGCUUGUAGCUGGGAACAAUGCUUGUUCCAGGGAAAACUGAUUUUGAUAGAACCGACUAGUUGAGUAUUAAACUGUUUUGGAAAUAAUUUGUAUAUCUAAGUGCUGAAAUAUAUUUCCCUUCUCCCCACUUAUUCAAAUAAAAAAAGUUUUAAUACUGUAAAUAAAA
This is an RNA transcript of Cercocebus atys (sooty mangabey), 2661 nucleotides long. It is a transcript of the gene named ARL14 effector protein pseudogene, with no coding region annotated. The record is from RefSeq and is a predicted model, not a curated record. The transcript has a single exon. NCBI's taxonomy places the organism in Eukaryota, Metazoa, Chordata, Mammalia, Primates, Cercopithecidae.